UUACGGCCACAUCACGUUGAAACACCAGUUUCCGUAGAGUCUCCAAAGUUAAGCAAUGUCAAACCUGGUCAGUAAUUAGAUGGGUGACCGCUUGGGAAUACCACGUGUU
Molecule: non-coding RNA, 109 nt
Organism: Acanthosepion pharaonis
Lineage: Eukaryota; Metazoa; Mollusca; Cephalopoda; Sepiida; Sepiidae
Source: the annotation of a GenBank genome assembly